Electrophorus electricus (electric eel) is the source of this 494-nucleotide non-coding RNA. Lineage: Eukaryota; Metazoa; Chordata; Actinopteri; Gymnotiformes; Gymnotidae. The record is from RefSeq and is a predicted model, not a curated record.
CAUGCAGAAAUAGUUUAUAUUUAUCUUUCACUCGAGAGAACCGAUUUCUCCACAACUGAAAAGACCAACUGGAAAAAAAAAAAUGGAUCCCUGUGAUUGCAACAGCACUGGAACUUGCAGGUGUGGUGUCAACUGCAAAUGCAAAAAUUGCAAGUGUCCAACUUGCCAGAAAAGCUGCUGCUGUUGCUGUCCACCUGGGUGCAGCAAGUGUGCUUCUGGAUGUGUGUGCAAGGAUGAGGCCUGUGAUUCUAGCUGUUGCAAGUGAACAUCCACGUUUGUUUCACACACAGUGCAGCUGUGUGUGAGAGAACCACUGUCCCAUGCAGUGAGGCUUGUCGGGAGUAACAAAUGGCUGGCAAACCUUUUGUCAAAACUGUCAUUUACUUCUGGUUAUCUUCACUCUAGUUUUCCUAGUUCUGUUAAACAUAACCUUUGCAAUUAAUGUUGCAUGACUAAACCUGUGUGGAAAUGCCAAUAAAACAUCUGAGUAUUUC